Molecule: small nuclear RNA, 152 nt
Organism: Rattus norvegicus (Norway rat)
Lineage: Eukaryota; Metazoa; Chordata; Mammalia; Rodentia; Muridae
Product: U4 spliceosomal RNA
Source: Ensembl
AGCUUUGCGCAGUGGCAGUAUCGUAGCCAAUGAGGUUUAUCCGAGGCGCGAUUAUUGCUAAUUGAAAACUUUUCCCAAAGCCAGCAGUGUGGUAUUGUAAGCCUAACCUUCUCAGAUGCUCUUGCCCAUUCCUUAUGCAUGAACCACAGGUU